RNAcentral lists this transfer RNA (85 nucleotides) under Felis catus (domestic cat). It matches the Rfam family "tRNA". Rfam says of the family: Transfer RNA (tRNA) molecules are approximately 80 nucleotides in length. Lineage: Eukaryota; Metazoa; Chordata; Mammalia; Carnivora; Felidae. The record is from Rfam by way of RNAcentral.
GCCUGGGUGGCUCAGUCAGUUAAGCAUCCGACUUCAGCUCAGAUCAUGAUUUCACGGUUCGAGGGUUUGAGCCCCUCGUCAGGCU